GCCACACAGAGACGUCUAGGUCAUGCAGGAGGCGCCCGGCCCCGGCCCGCUCCCGCCGCCCCAGACCCCUCCUCUCAUCCGACAGAAAGACAGACAAGAAGGGUUCCCGACCUGUCGUGCCCUGCAUGUUCAGAGUCUGUCAUGUUUGGUCAAGAACGGGGCGGGGCUGGAGGGCAGGUCUGCGAGGCCGGCGGCGGCGGGGCGCGGGGAAGACCCCCCGCGCCGCCUGCGGGAACCUGCUCCCGGCCGCCGCCGACAGGUGACGAAGUGGUAAAAACUCACGGUUACUAGUGAGCGACACAGACACAGACUUUCCAGUCUAUUAACAACCACGCCAGAGAGAUGGGGCUCUAACUGCAAACACUGGGCAACGGCCCCGCGCUGCCGGCGCUGCCGCUCUAGUCUCUAUUCGCCGCCGGUGGCUGUGGCGUGGGAGCGGGCGGGCGGCGUGCAGCGACGCGGGGAUUUGGACAGUGGCCGUAACGGUGAUUUCUCCUCACCAACAUGGCGGCACCCGAAACAGGCGGCUCGAGAAAAUGGCGCCGGCCGCAACACCUUGCCCGGGACUAAAGGGCAAGAGAGAUUCCUCCGCGAGCCGCGGCCCUUGCCCAGCCCGCCGGGGCCGAGCGCGUUGACCAUUGGAGGAGAGUGCCCGUCAAUCACCUGCAGGGGCGGGUCUUCGCCCUUCUCUGUGCAGCGGCGGAGGCGGCAGCCUAGUGGCGGGGCCGGGCGGCGAGAGACGCGGCCGGAUGGCUCCUCGAGUGUCUGCAGGAGGGGGAGGCAGCCCACGGGACCUACGAGGGCCACCAGCGCUUCUGCUCCCGGCGCAGUACGGGCCGCGGUUUUUCCUGCGAGACGCCCGCCGCCCGAGGAGUUCCAGACGCACCAAGCAAACGGGCCCCAAAACCGUUAGCCGAGGCGGGCAGGGGUGGGAUAACAAAGAACAAGGCGGCUGUAGAGUCCUUAAAUUUUUUUGUGAAAACCUUUGUUCUUGUAAUAAUAGGGAAAUGCAGUUUCUCCUUCACAGUUGUAGCAAGUAUCUGUUUUUGUAACGUUUAGUGUUCAGAAUCAUGUUUUAAGGAAAAUAGCUUGCCAUGCAGUUUUUUCUUGUAUUUGCUGUUAAAUUUACCCAAUUAUUACUUAAAUAGGAAUAGCUAUUGAAAUAAUUAUAUAAACGUUACUUUAUUUCGUAAUAAUAUUAACAUGUAAAAUGUAUGCGAGUAUUUUAUAAAUACUAUUAGGCAUGCCUUUUUUUUUUUUUUUUUUUUUUUUUUUUUUUUUUUUUUCUGAGAUGGAGUCUCCUCUGUCGCCCAGGCUGGAGUGCAGUGUCGCGCUCUCGGCUCACUGCAACCUCUGCCUCCUGGGUUCAAGCAAUUUUCCUGCCUCAGCCUCCCGAGUAGCUGGGACUGCAGGCACGCGCCACCACGCCUGGCUAAUUUUUGUAUUUUUAGUAGAGAUGGGGUUUCCCCAUUUUGGCCAGGCUGGUCUCGAACUCCUGACUUCAGGUGAUCCGCCCUCCUGGGUCUCCCAAAGUGCUGGGGUUACAGCCGUGAGCCACCGCGCCCGACCAUGCAUGAGUUUUUUAUACUUAUGAAGUGACCUUAAAAAAUUUUUAAAUGACAAGUCAGUGUUUUGGCCUAUUUAAUAUAUUAGUCCUGAAGGAAAGUUCCUUGCUUUUUACUAAAAUGAUAGACUCAAUGAUUAAUCCAAAUAUCUGACUUAAUUUGUCUUUCCUUAAUAAUACAUUUUACUAAUACAUAAAUGGAAUGCAUUCAAAAACAAUUGCAAUGAGUGGAUUAAAUUGGAAAUGUAAAGUUUUUGAUAUUAACAUAUACAUUGAAAAUAAAGGCCGGGCGUAAUGGCUCACGCCUGUAAUCCCAGCACUUUGGGAGGCUGAGGCGGGCAGAUCACCAGAGGUCGGGAGUUCGAUACCCGCCUGACCAACAUGGAGAAACCCAGUCUCUACUAAAAAUAAAAAUAAGCCAGGCGUGGUAGCCCAUGCCUGUAAUCCCAGCUAAUCGGGAAGCUGAGGCAAGAGAAUCGCUUGAACCCGGGAGGCGGAGGUUGCGGUGAGCCGAGGUCGAGUCAUUGCGCUCCAGCCUGGGCAACAAAAGCGAAACUCCGUCUUAAAAAAAAAAAAAAGUCGCCCCUUUUUUUUUUUUUAAAGUUGAAUACAGCCAGUGACAGGAGCUGUGGUCGCACUAUUUUUUUUUUUUUUUCAGUUGAAUGCAGCCAGUGACAGGACCUGUACUUAUAGCCACACUUUACCAUAAUAAAUUUGUAGGGAGCUUUCAAAAGGUACUAUGAAGGUACUAUGAAGAAACUAUGUUAACAUUUGGAGUUACAUUAAAAUCUCAGGACUUCGGUUUUAUCGUAACUGUUUUAGUUAAUUUAGGCCUUUCUGUAGCUAAUUUGGGUAACUGCUUUCUUGAAGUUAUCCAGAGGCCCUUGUGGUAAACAGUUGCUGUUCUUUCUUGCACUUCUGUUUUCCCCUGUCUCCUGUAUCUGGAGGUCUGAGAAUUUCUUUCAAGCCUUCGUUAAGGUGUUUGGUUUGUGAUGGCGUAGGACAGUGCAGUUCUCUCUGGAUGAAAAGCCUCCUUUUCGAACCGUUGGCAUGCGCCACUUAAGUUUGAUGGUAAAAUUUGUCAUCAGGUCUUGGUCUUUUUCUCUAGGUAACAGAAAGGGGAGGUGUGUGGGGGUGAGCAUUGAGGGGCAGUGCUCCUUUGAGGCUAUGGGUUUUUAGAAUCUAGAAGUGCUUAGAGAUCUGUGACACCUUGUCUUUAAUUGCCUCAGUUAAGGAGCAAUGUAGGUAUCAAAGAGAUUACACUAAUUAAUUUUAAACCUAACAGAUUUUACCUAAUAAUGACAUAUGGAUCAUGAGAACUGCAGAACUCUUGUCACGUAAUGACCUUGUCCAAACCUCAGCAAAAGGAGACCACCAAACUAUAGCGAGCCUUGUAGCAGCAUAAGGUCGUGUUCGUAGGAUGACCGCAGAUCUCUCCCCGGGCCUCUCGGUUAAAUGUCUCCCAGAGAAAACUCAACACUGCCCACCUGGCCAUAGGCCCUUGACCCCCUUUCUUGGAGCAUUUACAAAAAAAGAGCUUACAAUUGUGAGUCCUUCCUCUGUCCCCUUGACACGUAUGUGUUCUCUCCUACAAUUCAGGAGUAUCUUUCUUAAGGACCUGAAAGCCAUUCCUUUGAAAUUUAAUCAUCUGGAAGGUUGCUAUCUCCCAUUCUUGGUGGGAGGGUAGAAUCCUGACUUCAGUGAUAAUCGCCAGCUAGCUGACGCAGCUGAUCUAAUCACUUUUAUACUGACAGACUUUGAAAUGUUUUGCAUGUAUUCCGGCUCUUUCCCCCUCCCUUAUUCUCUCUUUAAGCUGCUCAAUUAUCUCUGCAUUGAAAUGGAACGCUGCUCUUUCCCCUACUGUUAGUAAUUACUGAAUAAAAUUGGUUUUCACCACUUUAAUGUCCAGGUUUUUUUAUCUUUGUCAACCUUCCCCACCCUCUAUCCACACAAAAAUUGUAACGGACAUAAAGGUACCAACACUUUAUUUUGCUAAAUAAAUUAAACAUAUUAAACAUCUUACGGUUAUUUCAUAAAAGACAUUUUAACAUCAAGAAAGUAGGAAGGAUAUCAUUAUUUUUGUUUCGUUGGUUUUUGUUGGGUUUUUUUUUGAGACAGAGUUUCACUUCACAGGCUGGAGUGCAGUGGCACGAUCUCGGCUCACUGCAACCUCUGCCUUCUGGGUUCAAGCAAUUCUCAUGCCUUAGCCUCUCGAGUAGCAGCUAGCAUUACAGGCACGCACCAUCAUGCCCGCUAAUUUUCGUAUUUUUCAUAGAGACGGUGGUUUCUGCCAUGUUGGUCAGGCUGGUCUCUAUCUCCUGACCUUGAGUGAUUCAUCCGCCUCGGCCUUCCAAAGUGCUGGGAUUACAGGCGUGAGCCACCGCGCCUGGCCAAGGAUAUACUUUAAAAAGCCAAUUACUUUACUUUGAAUUCCUUUACAUUUAGUGUUAAGAAAAAUUCCUUUUAUUGCCCGUGUUUUGUCCCAGAUGGUAAGAAUAAGCCCUGGUAUACCAAGGCUCCCAAUAUUGGACCACUAGACAUUCGGAGACUGGUCAGACUUGGGACAAAAACGGUCUCCUAGGUGAUCAUCCUAGCUGGAAGAUUAGGGGACCCUUACCCCAUCCUUCCUGGUAGCUUAUACAAACCCUAAAUGUAUAUGUGGCCCUAGGC
This 4234-nucleotide long non-coding RNA is filed under the name Homo sapiens (human). RNAcentral describes it as "non-protein coding lnc-ZC3H8-7:1". The record is from RNAcentral. Lineage: Eukaryota; Metazoa; Chordata; Mammalia; Primates; Hominidae.